GAUGAACGCUGGCGGCGUGCUUAACACAUGCAAGUCGAACGGUGAAGGCGGAGCUUGCUCUGCUGGAUCAGUGGCGAACGGGUGAGUAACACGUGAGCAAUCUGCACCUGACUCUGGGAUAAGCGCUGGAAACGGCGUCUAAUACUGGAUACGAGCUGCGAAGGCAUCUUCAGCAGCUGGAAAGAAUUUCGGUCAGGGAUGAGCUCGCGGCCUAUCAGCUUGUUGGUGAGGUAAUGGCUCACCAAGGCGUCGACGGGUAGCCGGCCUGAGAGGGUGACCGGCCACACUGGGACUGAGACACGGCCCAGACUCCUACGGGAGGCAGCAGUGGGGAAUAUUGCACAAUGGGCGAAAGCCUGAUGCAGCAACGCCGCGUGAGGGACGACGGCCUUCGGGUUGUAAACCUCUUUUAGCAGGGAAGAAGCGAAAGUGACGGUACCUGCAGAAAAAGCGCCGGCUAACUACGUG
This 468-nucleotide ribosomal RNA is filed under the name uncultured bacterium. RNAcentral describes it as "partial 16S ribosomal RNA". It matches the Rfam family "Bacterial small subunit ribosomal RNA", at positions 28 to 507 of the family's 1533-position model. The record is from RNAcentral.